This is an RNA transcript of Oncorhynchus kisutch (coho salmon), 6513 nucleotides long. It is a transcript of the gene named coiled-coil domain-containing protein 136, with no coding region annotated. Lineage: Eukaryota; Metazoa; Chordata; Actinopteri; Salmoniformes; Salmonidae. The record is from RefSeq and is a predicted model, not a curated record. The transcript has 9 exons.
GAGAGAGAGAGGAUGGAGGGAGGGAGGAGUGAACGACCGACGGAAAAUGAAUCGCAAGCUGCAGGAGAAUAGGUUGUCAGCAUCCAGAGCUCCAAGGUCUGACUCUCAUUAAAGCGUCCGUACGUCUCUCUCACCUCCAGGAUGGAGGGGCUGCUGCGGCUGAGUCUACCCGGAGCGUGAGGAGCCUUCCUGGGCUUCGUCUGCGUCAUCCUCCCCCUGUCUCUCUCUGCCCUGGUCCCCCUAUACUCAUCCAUCACUUGACCUCUGCAGUGCAAGAGAGCAUCUGGACCCACACGACACCUCCCCCUAAUCCCCCACACUGAGUUGCCAGGGCAACCAUGGAUGGACUACGCCUGCCACCGGUCAUCGAGGAGGUCAUGGACCCUGCAGAUGACAUAUGUGACCUGAAGGUGGAGAGGCCUGGCAUUGUGGACAAGCUGACGGUCAAAGAGAGGGAGUCCCUGGAGGAGAACGAUGAGAAGGAGGAGAAAGAGAAGGAGGUGGAGUUGGGGAACGGCGAGAAGGGCCAGCAGGAGGAGCAAGGAGAGGAGAAGGAGGUGAAAGUGGAGGAGGACGAGGAGGAGGAGGAGGAGGAGGAGGAAGGAGGAAUGUUAGAGGAGGAUGACUUGGAGGAGUUGAGGUCCCAGGUGCUGCAGCUGGUGUUGGAGCUGGAGGAGGCCAGGGAUGUGUCUCAACGACAUGAAGAGAGCUUCAUGGAGCUACAAGGUCUGUUGGAAGAUGAGCGUCUGGCCAGUGCUCACCAGGCAGAGAGCUUUACCAGACAGAUCCAGAGACUGCAAGCUCAGCUGCGUUCGGUCCAGGAGGAGAUGGACUCUCUGGAGGAGGAGAAGGAGAGUGAGCUGGGGGAGGUGCAGGAGGAGCUGAGGUCUGCCCAGGAGGAGGUGCUGGUUCUGCAGCAGGCGGGGGAGGAGGCAGCAGCGGAGAGGGAGAACGACAUCGCCUCCCUGCAGGAGGAGCUGUGUCGUCUGAGGGCCGAGCUGCAGCGUCUCCGCACCACGGCCCAAGAGUACGAGCUGGAGAUCACCACCCUGCGGGCUGAAAUCAGUAUGAAGAGCAUGAGGAGGGAGGGAGAGACUGACGGUGAGGUAAGCCAGCUGGCGGCGGAGUGUCAUACGAUUUCAGACGAGUGUCAGACCCUGAAGGACGAAAACAAACAGCUGAGCCUCAAACUGCAGCAGCUACAGCGAGCCGGCUCCAAUGAUGUCUACCUGGCCUUGAGAGGGGAGGGGGAUGAGGACCAGAAGGAUGAGGGUGUUGGGCAGGAUGAGGAAUCAGUGAAGGCUGGAGGCUACAUGACCCUGUCUCAGACCCAGGGUGGGCAGACCCAGACUGGGCAAGGUGGGCGCUUGGUGGAUGCCUCCAUCCAGAAGAACAUCUCGUUCGAUGGCAAGCCUAUCACCAACUGGAACGGGGGACCCUCUGAAGCCUUCUCCCUACGAGACCAGCUCAAACUGGCUGAAGAGAGGGCCUCGCAAGUACAGAGACAAUGUGAGGGGUUGAAGGGGGAGCUUGCGGACCUGCAGGGGCUAUUUGACUGCAGCCAGAAGGAGAGGGUUGAGCUGGAGCAGGAACUGCAUCACUAUAGGGCGGAGCUAGAGAGGCUUGGCGGCAAGAAGUCACAGGUGAGAGGUCAGCGGUCGGAGGGAGGUAACUUUGGUAACAAUGGCCGACAAAAGAUGGCCUCUUCUAUGUAUGAGUUGGUGAAAACAAGUGUUACUAUAAGGGGGCACAACACAUGUGCUAUAAGAAGGGUUAUGGUGGUGAAGGAGCUAGUUAUGAGGUAAGUAGAAGAGAACGAGAUGACACACCUAUACACAUACACACCUGUAUUUACAGUACACUUGAGUAACUGUGUGCUAACUAACCCAUUCUCCUCAAGCAUCAAGUCUGUCUGUCUGUCUGUACUGUGUGCAUGUGGGUCAGUAACAACAGCUCAGUCAAACAGCUAUGUCUCAUGGAAUCGUGACUUGUCUCUCGUCCUCUUUCUGCCUCCAGUGGUGUAGUCAGUUAUUCUUGUGUCCUCGACUUUGGUCCCUGGCUUCUUCCGCCCUUUUCUCAACAUGCAUUGCUUCAAUGGCGGUGUGUCUCUGCGUCCUGUCGCCCUGUCCAGUGUCUGUCCCCGUGUCCACCUAAACAACCCGGUCCAUAUCUUCUUUCUCUUCCUGUCUGAUGCCAUCAAAACCAGGAAGUGCUGAAUCAGAGUUUUGUUGAAAACUGAAUAACAAAAAUGACAAAUCAACCCACAUGUUAUUAUAGUGUUCAAAUGUGCGCUUAUAAGCCAGCCACUCCACCCUUGAUGAUUUGAUUGGGUGUACGUGGUCUCCUUAUCAAGGAUUUGGAAUUAGACCAUCCAGCCUGAGUACCACAGUAGUUCAUGUCACUCACCUGUCCUCCAUAGUUGUAGUUUAUCUUGUGACUAAACCCCCUCACCCGCACUGCUGGGCUGCCUACAACUCCCAGGGUUCUCUCUGUCUGAGUGACCGUUUGAGUGACAGGCAGCACUUUUCAGUAUGGGCAGAGAUCUUUAAAUGACAAGAUGGAAUCAUUACACAAGUUGUUCAUCUUGUCUUUAACCAUCUUUGAUGUGCUCUAAUGGCAUGCUCUUUCUGUUUCUCCCCUCCCUUCAUCGUUUCCAUGGCUGUGUUUUGUUGAAAACUCCUAUUUAUAAACACAUUCACAUUCAUAUGGUCAAAUCUGUUUACCAUAACCACCCUACAAAAUGUUGUGCAAUAUGGUUUUUACAAUCUGCCUAUCUCUUUAUUUCUUUCGUUCUGACCUCUCUGUCACUCACCCUCUCUGUCGUUGUCUAUUGGUCUCUCUACCUGUCUAUCUGCCUGUCAUCCCAUUUAUCUACCUCUCAAUCACCUCAUGAUGUUUUAUGUACAUAUAUUUAUCUGUUGUCUCUUCAUCUAUCUCUCCACAUGUAAUUCUUUCAUUUUUGCCUCUCUUUAUUAUGAUUUGUGAUUUCUCUCACCACCUCCCUCCUCCUCUCUCAUGCCCCCACGAUCCCUUGUUUUCUCCCCAGAACUGCACUCCUCCGUCUGAGCCCCCUGUUCUCUCCAUCCCCUUCAUAGGAAUGAUUGUAAUAAUGGCCCUGAUAUGGUGCUGGUGGGAGGAGCUGGCGUCCUAGAGGGGACCAGGAGAGCGAGGGAGGCUGGAACCUGGUGGCGGUGGUUGCCGUGGCAGCGCUUGUAGUCCUGAUAGUCCCCAGCCUUUCUAGAGCAUUUACCUGAGGACUACACAGAAAGGAAGUCACUGUACAGGAAAUGACUGUGCCGGUUGCCCAUGGCAACACAGGCAAUGCCAUGCCCCUAUCUCAUGAUGCCCCUGUCAAAUCUCCUCCUCGAUGCAUCUUCCAAGGAGGACUACAUCAAAAACAUUUUCACCAGGAAAUACAACACAACAAGGAAGUAGUCCCAUACAUUACUCAAGGAGAAAUACAUAUACCUGUUUAAGCCACUCUAACGAUAAGGACUGCAAUAUCUUGUUUCUCUCUUUAAAGUCCUUCAGUUUGACUCAAUCGGUUUCCCUCUCUACUACUCUUCUCUCUACACUUCUUUAGAUACACUUACGAGUUUAAGGGAACAGCAUGAUAUAAAGGUGACUGCCUCGGAGUUUGUGGCAGUACUGUGUCUGCAUGGGCGUCAAUGGAAAGACACAAUUUAGUACAGAACAUGUCUGAGCAUUUAUUGAUUGAUUGGUUGAUGGUUUAUUGGUUGAUUGGUUGAUGGUUGAUUGGUUUAUUGUUUGAUUGGUUGAUGCUUGAUUGGUUUAUUUACAACCUGUAAAGGUUGAAUUGUGAAAAGCUCAUGCCUUAUUGUUUCCUUUGCACAUAUUGAGUCACUGAUAAGAUGUUUCUCUUUCUAAUGGGCAUGUGGUCUUUUCCCAGACCCUACCCCUCCUUUUGAAUCACUUUGAACAUUGCCAAUGCGAAUGUCUCUGCUGCACUUUGCGUGUCUUUACGGCUCACAAUUGACUAUCUUAACACUUUUCCUUCUGUUUCUGUUGUGGCAUGCUCUUUUUACGUUUAAAUGAAGUUGUGUGGAGGAGUGUUUGAUUAUGUGAGUUUGAUGUAUUGGAUGUUUGUCUCCUUGGUAAAUGGUCCUUUCUCUCUCUCGUCUGCAUCUGUCACUCUCUCUCACUCUCUGCACUUUCUCCUUAUUGGUUAUUGGUUAUAUCUGUAUGUGUAUGGAACCACAACCACUAUACACAUCUAUACAGAUUAACAAUACUAUCAUACAUGCAACUUGGGGUAUUCAAUUUGACAGUCCAAAUGAUUUCCAGCUAGAUAUCUAUUUUUGUAGCCGUAGGAACAAUUUGUCCCCAAGACUGAGGAGUUAUUUAAUGACUGAUUCCACUGUGUUUGGUUAUGCUUAGAAACAGAAUUGAACAAGGCUCGUUAUUUGAAACAGAGAGUUGUUUUUGUAAAUAGACAUUUGUGUUUAAAUGUUUUGCGUUCUUUUUUAAAAUAUUAAUCGUCACAUUCUGAAAAAUGACAAACAAUCAAUAUAGGCCACCAAAAUGAAAAGUGGAGCCAGUGAUGAAAUGUGGACCAUUGUAUUCCAAGAUGCGUAUUUUGGGUGUGUUCUCUUACCUAGUCUUUUCGUCUUGUACCGCUUGCGUUCUAAUCGCUGAUAUCUAUGUUCUCUAACGAUGAUGCCCUUUUCUUUGUUGGCACGAAGCACACAGUUUAGUCACAGGUUCUGCAUGGGAACUUUUCAAUGUCAUUGCUGUAAACUUGACACAACACAUUCCAAUGAUAGAUUGACUUAACAACAGCGAGGUCACACUGUUGUCAUGGAGAAGACGUCUAACCUUUACUCUGCCGUUUCGGCACCUACGGAGUGCACCGAGAAUACUUUUUGACUCUUACUCUACCUUUGGCAUGAUUUAGCUACCGUGUAAAUACAUAGCAAGGCAAAUCAUUUAAACUCCUUUGCGUGACCUGUGGAGCAAAAAGUCAGAAAUGCGCUUUGCAUUGGAGGUGGGACGGUUAUUUUAAAGUUAAAUGGUCUUUGUCCAAGAACACACAACGACUAUGACUGAGAGAGCAAUCUCACCAUAAAUGUUUUAUUUUCUAGAGGAUCGUUUGUGAGAAACGUGUACAGAAUGCAGUAAGCGUUAUAGCUGGUGCCUGGAUUCGUAGUGUGCUGUCAUGACUGACAGUUAGUUGGCUUGUUUCAUAUAUGUAUGUAGGCGAGCUAAUUCGCUUAAUUCCAUGGGUGUGUAGGUGACAAGACAUUGAAAGCGUGCUUAGCCAAUAUUCUUCUGUAUUCCAAUAUCCCAUUGUAGAGUUAUAGCAUUAUAAAUAUGUAUAGGUAAUUAGUGCUUCUAGUUUGUGCUAUGAAUCAAUAAAUUACUACUAUAAGUAUAUAAUAUUAGUUUCAAUACAUGUUUCACAGUCAUAACUGUGUGAUGGGCAAUUGAACACUGAGGUGUACUGAAAAACAUGAAUGCUUAUAGGCUAUGCAUAGAAUAUUUUUUCCACAGUGCAGAGACAAUAUAAGACCUCAUUGGUAGGUAAAUGCAUGCUACAGUGUAUGUGAAAACGAUAUCUGUAGUUUUGGAAAAAAAUGUGGUAUUUGUAUUGUGCUGUAAAUAGGAAAUAGUUUUUCACAGUUUAAUAACAUGGUUUGUUGAUUGAGAGCAGUUCUAGAUUGAGUAGAGGGUUCUUUUUGAAUUGACUGAACACAGCCAGUGCAUGAAUAGUGUAUAUGUGUGAGACAGUAACAUGUAUAGCUAUUGCAUGCUAGGCUUAGUAAACAACUUGCAUGCCUAUUGAUGGGUAGAUCUAGUUCCUGUAGUGACAGUCAUUUCAGCCAAUCCAUUGUGACUGUCUUCAUGCAUGACUAAUCAGAAUCAUUUGUGAUUUUUGUUCUAACUAUGUCAGUCUCUCUUAGUUGAUUUACUACUUUACUGGUUUGUCACUAUUAAUAUUAUCACUUUGGUUUCAUACAGUCCCUUCUAUUCUAUCGCACUCUACUCUAUUCUACUUUUCUUCUUCGAUUGUCUGGUCUCUACAAUGUGUAUAGAUUGUUCGGGUAUUUAUCUUCACUUUUCUGCUGUGCUUCAAAUACUGUAAAAUCCACUGACAGUGUCCUUUUUUUUCUACCCUGCUUCUAUUCCAGCAUGGAAGCUUAAACAGUAAAGGCGAGACACAUUACGGAAACUAUUCUACAUGUCAAAACAACCUGUGCUCUUAACUAGAAACUGGCUACUGCUCACUGUAUGUGAUGAUGUGAAGUUUGACCCUGUGACCUUAUGUAAAGCUGCAGCUCGUUCUGUAUGUCUCUCUGUCUGGGUCUGUGUGACAUGGCUACUGUCAAUGUCUCUUUUAUGCAGCGCUGAAUCCGAUGUUGCCAUAGUCUCUACUACAGCACCUUGUCAGUCAAUGUCUCAAUGGGCUUUUAAUGAGAAUAUUGUGAGUAUUUUGGUAAAUAGUCUGUACAUUUUGUAAAUGAACUGAGAAAUAAAAGUAGUUUAUCCUCAUUC